This 405-nucleotide long non-coding RNA is filed under the name Oryza brachyantha (malo sina). RNAcentral describes it as "long non-coding RNA (OBRA_LNC001890)". The record is from RNAcentral. Lineage: Eukaryota; Viridiplantae; Streptophyta; Magnoliopsida; Poales; Poaceae.
CAGAUAAAGUUUGAACGUGAGACGUGAAAACUCUCUAAUAGUGCUACUUUGCACUCUGUUCUUUUUGGAAAUAGCUAUGACUAUGAUAUGGCGUACGUGGAACUGAACUAUUCUGAUCGUACAACUGUAGUAUGAAAAAUAUCGGAUGUAUAACAUUGUUCGUUCUUUUCUUUGUUUUGCACAUACGAGUGCUCGAUCUUUCUUCACAUCUCCUGUCACAUGCGGAUGUGGUGCCCUUGUAACUCCUGAUACCACCCAUUCCGAACUAUUGGUUUUUGUGAAUGAGACAGCGAAGGAGAAAGAACCGGUAUACUAUGUACUGCAGCAAAUCUAACUAUUAUAAGCCUCUUAAGUCAGAGGAGAGGUUGCUGCGUUAUGAUGGGUAGGUGGAUCGAUGAGAUAUCG